AGGAUGAACGCUAGCGGCAGGCUUAAUACAUGCAAGGUCGUGGGGCAGCGCAGUGUAGCAAUACGAUGGGCGGCGACCGGCAAACGGGUGCGGAACACGUAUACAACCUUCCUACAAGUGGGAAUAGCCCAGAGAAUUUGGAUUAUACCCGUAACAUAUAAAGAUGGCAUCUAUUUUUAUAUUAUAGCUACGGCGCUUGUUGAUGGGUGUGCGGCUGAUUAGGUAGUUGGCGGGGUAAUGGCCCACCAAGCCUGCGAUCAGUAGCUGAUGUGAGAGCAUGAUCAGCCACACGGGCACUGAGACACGGGCCCGACUCCUACGGGAGGCAGCAGUAAGGAAUAUUGGACAAUGGGCGCAAGCCUGAUCCAGCCAUGCCGCGUGAAGGAUUAAGGUCCUCUGGAUUGUAAACUUCUUUUAUAAGGGACGAAAAAAGGGAAUUCUUUCUCACUUGACGGUACCUUAUGAAUAAGCACCGGCUAACUCCGUG
This 487-nucleotide ribosomal RNA is filed under the name uncultured bacterium. RNAcentral describes it as "bacterial SSU rRNA". It matches the Rfam family "Bacterial small subunit ribosomal RNA", at positions 26 to 507 of the family's 1533-position model. The record is from RNAcentral.